RNAcentral lists this long non-coding RNA (1900 nucleotides) under Equus caballus (horse). Its description in RNAcentral is "lncRNA (ENSECAG00000054216.1)". The record is from RNAcentral. Lineage: Eukaryota; Metazoa; Chordata; Mammalia; Perissodactyla; Equidae.
GAGGGCCAGCCCUGUGGGCCAGGUGGCUGGGAGGAGGCUGGAGCUCAGCAGGAACCCUGGGAGGCAGACUUCCAAAGGGAGGCAGCGGCUCAUUCAGAGUGGCUUCGCAGAGCAGUUGUGAAUAUUUUUAUACGAGAUGCAUAAACAUUGAAGCACCUUGUAAAGUGAAAAAGAUUGGCCAACGAUAUGGAAUCAUUAUAGGGCAGCAGUUAAGAGCACAAGAACUGUAGCCAGCGUGUCUGGAAUGGAAUCCCAACUUUACCAGUUACUAGCUGUGCAGCCUUGGCCACCCAGGUGAAAGGCCACUCCCUGGCCCAGGAGCCCCCCACCCCCACCCCAAGGCUUCAAGCACCUGGCCUCCUCACUCAGGACCGCCUGCUGGUCAGGGAGCUCAGGAUCCUUCUCCUCCUACGGUUCCUUUGUUAACCCCUCAUGCUGCACUGCAGGGGGGCAGAGGUUACGAUUUGCCCAUUGCUGUCAGAACCGGACAAGUGACCCAGCAGAAAUAUGCAGGAGACACAGGCAGACAAGCCAGCAAGAAGCAGGGACCUUCGUGAGGCCGAGAAAAAAAGCACAGGCAGGGCCUAGUGAUGGAGGUGUCCAGGGGCUGCGGGCAACCCACUCACAUUCUGUUUAUGCCGGAGGAGGGCUUCCUGGAGGAAGUGGUGGACGCUGGGGCAACACGGUGAGCCCAGCCGAGCAAGGAAGAUGUGAGCCUUUCCAGCCUCUCAGGAAGUCCUGCCAUUUACUAGUCGUUGCCCCUGGGAAAGACCUUAACCCCUCCCUGCCUCAGUCCAUCUGCUAAAGGGGGUAAGAGCAUCCACUUCCUCAGGCAGGUGGGAGGAUCUCAUGAAACCAGGCCUGUAAAGCAGCACACGCCCCUUAGUGAGGGUUCAAAGGAUGUAGCUGCCACUGUUGUUACAGCCUCUCCCAUCUCCCGGUCUUAGUCUAUCCAUCCCCUCUCCCCGCCCCUCCACCUCCUUCCCAGCAUCUCAUUGCCACCAACACUUUUACAGCCUUCCCUCCAGUAAACUCCGGCUCUCUCCUGGGAGGCAUUACCGAGAAGCAGGACUUACUGUGGAAUUGUGUAAAGAGCCACCACAAACCUGAAGCCCUGGUGUUAGGGCCCAGCCCACCCCUGCUAGAGCAGUGUGUCCAGAGGCCACGGGGAAGAGGGGUGUGGGUGACAGGAAAGACAUAUGUCCUGGUGGGCAGGGUCUGGAGGUUCCUCAGCUUCAAGAACACGACCUUUGCUGUCGGUAGCGUUGUUUCACAAAGGGCCAGACCAAGCAGCCUCCCGUAUCCCCAGAAGACCCAACAAGAGUCAGUGGAUUAAAUUAAAGCAGCAGAGAUUUGAGUGGGAUACAAGGAAGGCUGUCCUGAUAGCCUGGGAUAACACGCAGGAGAGGCCGAGGGUAGCAGGCUGAGCUGCCCUGUCCCGGGAGGGAGGCCUGGACUGGGUCAGGUCCGAGGGCCGACGCAGGGAAGCUGGUCCACUGAAUAAACCGGGGGCAGGAGGGUGGGUCAUUUCGUCUCUCCUAGCCUAGAAUUCAAUAAUUUCCUUUCGGUGUGAUACCUAAAUUUCCUUUACCUUAAAGAAAAAAACAAUCUAUAUGCGCUUGAAUGUGGCCUUCAGCAAAGGCCCUCACAGACAGGGGCCCCCACCCUCACCUUCCAAGCUUCCUGAAGGCACGUUUUGGCUAAGAAACAAAGUUCGAGGUGUGAAACCCAACUGUCGAUACAGUCACUCUCCGCAGUCAGGCAGAAUUAAUUGUGUGAACACCAUUGAUCAGACCACUUAAUACUUACAGGGGCUGAGAAGCAGCUGAAACGUAAUUUCAUUACCAACCUGCUCACCCCUAAUGAAACUCCUAAUAACUCUCUAAUUUUUCUUUCAGAU